Molecule: long non-coding RNA, 258 nt
Organism: Myotis davidii
Lineage: Eukaryota; Metazoa; Chordata; Mammalia; Chiroptera; Vespertilionidae
Exons: 3
Source: RefSeq, a predicted model, not a curated record
CUGGAACUUGAAUUUCCACACCCUUAUCUCUGGGGCCUCGAUUUCCUCAUUUGUGCAAUGGGCAGAAGAGUCCCUACCUGUUAGGGUUGAGUAUCCUAUGAGCUUAUGGGCUCCUGCUGCAGCUGGAGCUGUGGAAAGGGGCUGAAUGAGUGACGCAAGUGCAAGGGGAACAGGGACAGGCUGCUGGGAGGAAGAAUGCUCUUCCAGUGAGAACCACCCAAGCCUGGAAGAGGCGGCACUGUGUGUAAGGAGAUCCUG